UAGGGAUGUAAUUAGAGAAAUUGAUGAGGCAAGCUUAGGUAAGUAGGCGAAGAAUCUUAGAAUUAGCAGCCAAGCAGGCCCGCCAACAACUAUUUGGUUGCCCCGUCAACUUCCUACGUGCCAUGAAAUGUCGCUUUUGUCCGUUAGGAAUUUCAUUUUUAUAAUUUAAUUUAUUAUUAAUAUCAUAAUGUCCUUCCCCUUUUUAAAGUCCCAAAAUCGCAAUUGAUGACAUUAAAAAGGGUUUUAGGUAAGAUAUCAGUAUUUCACAACUCAUCUAAAUGAUUUUGGAUCAUGUUUUACACGACUACAACUCCACAGUUUGGUAAACUAUCACAAUUUCGA
This 342-nucleotide unclassified non-coding RNA is filed under the name Hevea brasiliensis (rubber tree). Lineage: Eukaryota; Viridiplantae; Streptophyta; Magnoliopsida; Malpighiales; Euphorbiaceae. The record is from RNAcentral.